RNAcentral lists this long non-coding RNA (414 nucleotides) under Dendronephthya gigantea. Its description in RNAcentral is "uncharacterized LOC114541787, transcript variant X2". The record is from RNAcentral. Lineage: Eukaryota; Metazoa; Cnidaria; Anthozoa; Malacalcyonacea; Nephtheidae.
AUUUUUGCAGAGAUUUUCCCUGGUCAAGAGUGCAACAUGAGUCGUGGAUAUGAACUUUACUGUCAGAUGUACAUUGAUUGAAAAGUGAACAAGAUAUCUGCACUGAGAAUGAAUGAAGUUGAAGAAAGUUGAAAGGCACCCCAGAAGAACCUGAAUUAUUUUAGCCCUAUCCUAGAUUCAUUGAAUAUUUUAGUGUGUGAUAACAUGUGUGAAAUGUGAUCAAUUAUGUGACAAUUUUCAAAACUUGGAUUUAUAAAGAGAAAAUUUUCUUUGUAAUGUUUAAGAAGUAAACUUUUUUGUCUGGUGGUGUUGGUGUUUUGAUUUUGCAUGUUUUUCCCUGUGCUUUCACAAAUGAAAAUAUUUUAGCAGUUGCUUUUGGCUUUUUCUCAUACUUCUUUUCUCUUUAAUUUCUUC